RNAcentral lists this transfer RNA (124 nucleotides) under Phaeomonas parva. Lineage: Eukaryota; Pinguiophyceae; Pinguiochrysidales; Pinguiochrysidaceae. The record is from RNAcentral.
UUUGUAGCUCAGUCGGUAGAGCGUCAGUCUCAUAAUCCCCAAGAUUAUCGGAAUUGUACCCCGAUGCAAACCAGUAAUCUGCUCGUCUCCUGAGACGCAGCUGAAGGUCAGCGGUUCGAUCCCG